GAAAUGCGAUAAGUAAUGUGAAUUGCAGAAUUCAGUGAAUCAUCGAAUCUUUGAACGCACCUUGUGCUCCUUGGUAUUCCUUGGAGCAUGCCUGUUUGAGUAUCAUGAAAUCUUCAAAGUAAAUCUUUUGUUAACUCAAUUGGUUUCUACUUUGGUAUUGGAGGUCUUUGCAGCUUCACACCUGCUCCUCUUUGUUCAUUAGCUGGAUCUCAGUGUUAUGCUUGGUUCCACUCGGCGUGAUAAGUUAUCUAUCGCUGAGGACACUGUAAAAGGUGGCCAAGGUAAACGCAGAUGAACCGCUUCUAAUAGUCCAUUGACUUGGACAAUACUUUUAUGAUCUGAUCUCAAAUCAGGUAGGACUACCCGCUGAACUUAAGC
This 378-nucleotide unclassified non-coding RNA is filed under the name plant metagenome. Its description in RNAcentral is "partial contains 5.8S ribosomal RNA, internal transcribed spacer 2, and large subunit ribosomal RNA". The stretch from base 1 to 105 matches the Rfam family "5.8S ribosomal RNA", at positions 50 to 154 of the family's 154-position model. The record is from RNAcentral.